This is a long non-coding RNA of Vicia villosa (hairy vetch), 3102 nucleotides long. RefSeq lists it as uncharacterized. Lineage: Eukaryota; Viridiplantae; Streptophyta; Magnoliopsida; Fabales; Fabaceae. The transcript has 8 exons. The record is from RefSeq and is a predicted model, not a curated record.
UAAUGGUUUGGUGAAACACUAUACAAUCUACCCUAUAAGAAGAUUUAAGUAUCUGGAAAAGACCUUGGUACUCUUGCUUCUUCCAAAACCAUCCACGUCUCCAUUUUGUAAACCCUACCAAUUGCCUCUACAACAUCACACAACUUUUGUUUCAAAAUUUCAGAUUGCCUUUUUUCCUUCUUUCUCUCUCAAACGUCUUCUCAUCAUCUUUUCUUCUCUCUCUCUCUCUCUCUCUCUCUCUCUCUCUCUCUCUCUCUCUCUCUCUCUCUCUCUCUCUCUCUCUCUCUCUCUCUCAUUUAUCUCUUCCUCACCUACCUUCACCCUCGUCCUUCUUUUCUCUUCCCUCUCUUCCUUCUUCUCUACAACGUUUGAUGCAAACUAUGUUAUUUGCAAAAGCAUACAGAACAUAUGCGAAGACGAAGAUGGAGACGCCGACUUUUCUCAGAUUUUUGAGAUAUUCUAACCGUUCAUUCAUAGCGAUCCGUUUCGAUUCAUUGUACCGAACCUUUUCAGAUCGUCACUACUAUCCCUACCAUUGUACCAUAUAUCGACAGAGACGUCGCAAUAUCGACAAACUCCAACGUGAAGUUAUAAUGAUACACCAUUGGAGACGUCGCAAUAUCGACAAACUCCAACGUGGAGUUAUAAUGAUACACCAUUGGUAGAUCUGAAAUUAAUGUGAUUGCAGCUUCUAAUGAUUGUUAGCUGGUGUUGGCUCGUGCGAAAUGGGGGAAGAUUCGCCGGCGGUGCGGUUUCUAAAGGGUUUGUGAUAUUGAACUGGAUGUGCAGGUUCAUUUGGUGCUCGAAUGCCUCAAGUAUUUUGGUGGGAGCAUAUUCAGUGUCGGCUUUGCUUCGUCAAGUGCAGGUUGGGAAUUUUGGGAUUUUCAUGAGUAUUGUGAUCUUGCCCUAUUCGAACAGUUUGAGAGUGCAUAUGGCUGCAAUUUGCAUUUAUAUAACGUUGAAUUUGCACUUGAUUUUGGGACCGAAUCCACUGAUGAAUUGUUGACUGAUGCCUUGAAUGUAUCCUGUACAGGUUCCAAGAUGAGGUUUCCCGGAGUCGGAAGCGAAGCUGUCUCAAACAUGGAAACCCAUAUUGAAGCUUGAAGUAUAAGUUUGUGUGUAUUCAGGAUAUUGGUUUAGCCUUGAAUUGAAUUGAGUUUCUUCCUUUUUUCUGAUGAUACAGUAUUUCUAUAACAGGUUGUCCAUGAAUGGAUAUGUUCCUUUGAAACUCUGAAAUGAAUUUUAAAUCGAGAGCUAUGAAUUGCAUUCAAAUUUUCUGUAGGUAGGUGAAAUCCAUGGUUUGUUAACAUAUGAUUUGGGUUCUUCAAGGGAUUGCAGAUUCAGGGCAUUAUCUGAGGCAAGCAACUCUAAACCAAUGAGAAGUGAGAUUUAUAUGUCACUGGAACAAUAUUCAUACUUUUUACUUUAUCCCCUCAACUGGCUCCAAUUUUGGGCUUUCCUACUAAUCGUUAUGAGGAUACUCCCCUGAGGAUACUCCUAAAAAGUCUUUUGCAUCUAUUAUAAUUCUGCACCUUUCCAUUUGAGGGCUUCCCUUGCAAAACCCGCGGUGCAACCACCUCGUGUUCACAGCAGUGUGCCUGCUCCCGAAGUACAAGUCCCCCUAACGCCGACAUUCCAUUGGAAAAGAAUAAUGAGAAUUUAGGUAAUUUUAAUUUACUCAUUCCACUGGAUCUGGUUUUCAAGAAAUUCGGGUACAUUAAACGCGGUGAUAUUCAAGUUAGAAGUAACAAGGUACGUUUAUUUUGAACAUUUCCAACACCUGCUUUACUGAAUGCACAUUGACUACAAUUAGUGAUACAAUUUCUAUUUUUUUACAUGGAUUCCACAUGUAAAAAAGAGAAUUUGGCUUUGGCGGCUUAUAUGUGAUCACUUCAAAGACUCCCGAGUAUUGUUGGUUUCGGCAACGCCGUGGACUUGACUUUGAUGAUGAGAAGGUUCUCCGGUUUGGAAGAAAUUCAGUAACUUACUUUUGGAAUUGUUAAUAAAAAGAUUCCAUUAUUACAGGGAGAGGACAUUCAUGGGAUACCUGGACUUAUUAAUCUUUUUGGAAUUGAGUCACCUGGUUUAACAUCAAGCUUGGCAAUUGCAGAUUUCAUUGCUACUAAAUUUUUGUGAAGAUACAGAGGCGUUCAGCAUGGAACAUUUAGUUACUUGACAUUACCAAAAGAUACAUGGUUGUUGUGCAUGAGAAAGUAUUGCAAUUAAAUGCUCAAAAUGUCUAAUGAGAUGAUUGAAACCAUGGCAACAAUGGUAUUUCACAACAAUGCAGCAAAUAAGGUCUUGUCAUUGUUAGAUAGCAUAUUUUAGUACAUAGUAACAUGUAUUUAAUAUGUAAAUAAUAAUUGUUUUCUCACUAGAAUGGAGUUAUAAGUAUGAAGUGAAAAUACCGGAAAUACGACACCGAUAAUAAUUUUAAAAAUAUGAAGCCAAUUAAUAUUAAUAAUGUAUUGUAGGGAGGUAGUAAACAAGUUAGAUUUGAGCUUGUUGAUGAGAAAUUUAUAGCUAUUAGCCUGUUAUUUAUUGGAAAUUUUACAAGCAUGUUCUAAAUGUGGAACCAUAUAUCUUUGCAUGUUUUCAUGAUUUACUAAAUCUUUAUAGAACUUUUAAAAAUGAGAAUGUGCAUGAAAUAAUCAAUGGUAUGUAAUGAAAAAAAAUGUACUAUAGUUUAAAAUUGGAUCAAAUAAAUUUUUUUGUUAAGGACUUAUAUAAAUAUGUACUAAUGUUCAUAUAACUUUUUUUUUUAUUUUUUAACUUAUUAUAUGUAUCUGAUAAACUCGGUCUAACCCACACCAGAACCCGUGCGGACGCACGAGUUUCCCACUAGUUAUUAAAAAGAAAAUGCAACAUUUUAUAUAUUUUCAUAAAUAAAAGUACUUUUGUACUAAAAAAAGAAGUUGCAUUGCUAAUAACAUAAGAAUCGAACAUAUUAUUUAAAAAAAAUAGAUAUGGCAUAUAUCUAUAAACAUAGGAUUAGGGGUGGCAAAACUUACUGUGGCCCGCCGGGCCGGCCCGCUCACCCGCCAAAAAUUGGCGGGUUGGGUUGGGAUUUUAGGAUCGCCCCGCCAAAACCCGUCGUCCGCC